AGAGUUUGAUCCUGGCUCAGAUUGAACGCUGGCGGCAGGCCUAACACAUGCAAGUCGAACGGUAGCACAGAGAGCUUGCUCUCGGGUGACGAGUGGCGGACGGGUGAGUAAUGUCUGGGAAACUGCCUGAUGGAGGGGGAUAACUACUGGAAACGGUAGCUAAUACCGCAUAACGUCGCAAGACCAAAGAGGGGGACCUUCGGGCCUCUUGCCAUCAGAUGUGCCCAGAUGGGAUUAGCUAGUAGGUGGGGUAACGGCUCACCUAGGCGACGAUCCCUAGCUGGUCUGAGAGGAUGACCAGCCACACUGGAACUGAGACACGGUCCAGACUCCUACGGGAGGCAGCAGUGGGGAAUAUUGCACAAUGGGCGCAAGCCUGAUGCAGCCAUGCCGCGUGUAUGAAGAAGGCCUUCGGGUUGUAAAGUACUUUCAGCGGGGAGGAAGGCGAUAAGGUUAAUAACCUUGUCGAUUGACGUUACCCGCAGAAGAAGCACCGGCUAACUCCGUGCCAGCAGCCGCGGUAAU
Molecule: ribosomal RNA, 525 nt
Filed under: uncultured Enterobacteriaceae bacterium
Lineage: Bacteria; Pseudomonadati; Pseudomonadota; Gammaproteobacteria; Enterobacterales; Enterobacteriaceae
Description: bacterial SSU rRNA
Rfam family: Bacterial small subunit ribosomal RNA
Source: RNAcentral